This 1043-nucleotide long non-coding RNA is filed under the name Marmota monax (woodchuck). Lineage: Eukaryota; Metazoa; Chordata; Mammalia; Rodentia; Sciuridae. The record is from RNAcentral.
UGAACUGAGGAACUGGCUCACAGUUCCUUCUCUUUGGAGGCCUUAUUUUUGCCUUCAUCCGUUAGGAAGUCUCCAAGAAAGGCCCAGGAAGAGGGUAGGCACUAUAAGACAAGCAGGAUGACAGAACAAGGAGGACUCUGAGAUUGUUUCUCCUAUUGCCUUGAAAGUGCUGGCUGGUCUUCUUCAACCACUCCCCAUGUCCCAACCCCCACCCCCACACUCACCAGUGUGUAUAGACAUGGGCAGAGGAUAACUAGGCUCCACCCUAAACUGGAGCUCACUGAGUGUCACCAGCUACUUGGGCUUUAUCUCUGCUCUCCUGGAUUCUGCCCUCCUUUCUCCUGGACUUCUGAGCCUGGCAGUCCCUUCCUGGCUCAGCUAAGUCUAGGCUUCUCCUAUCCAAUGUCCAGAACUUACAGGGCUCAUUAGACUACAAACACAUCAAGGGCAGGUGGCACACCUUGCUCCUCUCUCACACCCCUGCCCCCACCUCCACCAUGCAUCUCCAGCCCCUGGUGUCUGGCACAGAACAUGAGUGGCACAAAACAGGGAUCUGGGGUAAAGAAAUGAAUGUCCUUUUCGCCUGGCCAAAGACUUGGUGCCUGGCCCUUCGUGGCUUUCUUGCUCCACUGCAGCAAGAAGAGGCAUUUGACAGUCUGCAAAACUAUUCCUGCAUUACUCACAUUAAAGUUUAAAUACCUAAAUGCUGUCUCUCUGUAGAAGCCAGAAACCCAUUGAGACGGAUGAUUUGAGGUUUCCCGACCAAAAACUGCAGAGGCUCACUGUUGCUUCCCCAGACUUACUGUUAUUAACAGAUCUGGCGACAAGAUGGGAUUCUUCUGUCGUAAGAUGCCUCUGAUGAAAAAUUUUCAAAAAUCACCAGGUGAUGAAGGCAGUAGCCUGGGACCAAAUAGGGAAUCUUAUGGCGCUCCCCCCCCACACACAUCUCCAUAUUCUAGGUUGUCUCAGUUCUUCAGACUCCUGGUUUCUUUUAACAUCUCCAUAUUCUUAAAAAUGAAUUCAAUAAAGAAUUCUAAAAUUUG